Molecule: ribosomal RNA, 254 nt
Filed under: uncultured bacterium
Lineage: Bacteria
Description: partial 16S ribosomal RNA
Rfam family: Bacterial small subunit ribosomal RNA
Source: RNAcentral
UACGUAGGGUGCGAGCGUUGUCCGGAAUUAUUGGGCGUAAAGGGCUCGUAGGCGGUUUGUCGCGUCGGCCGUGAAAACCUGCAGCUUAACUGUGGGCGUGCGGUCGAUACGGGCAUCACUGGAGUUCGGCAGGGGAGACUGGAAUUCCUGGUGUAGCGGUGAAAUGCGCAGAUAUCAGGAGGAACACCGGUGGCGAAGGCGGGUCUCUGGGCCGAUACUGACGCUGAGGAGCGAAAGCGUGGGGAGCGAACAGG